GCCGGCAGCUAGCUCUCUGCAACUCUCACAUGGUCGCCCACUGAAGCUAAGCAGGGCUGCGCCCGAUCAGUACCUGAAUGGGAGACCACAUGGGAAAGCUAGUUUGCUGCCGCAA
This 115-nucleotide ribosomal RNA is filed under the name Danio rerio (zebrafish). The record is from RNAcentral. Lineage: Eukaryota; Metazoa; Chordata; Actinopteri; Cypriniformes; Danionidae.